This 4588-nucleotide small RNA is filed under the name Oryza sativa Japonica Group (Japanese rice). RNAcentral's name for it is "Os04g0308000". Lineage: Eukaryota; Viridiplantae; Streptophyta; Magnoliopsida; Poales; Poaceae. The record is from RNAcentral.
AGGCUUGGCAACUCGGCGGUGAUGGCGGCGGCGGCUCAGCCCUGUUGGGUUGAGAAGUAAUACCAAUAGUUGCCUGAAUCUAUUGUGAGUGUGUGAGUGUGAGAAGUGUUCAUCCAAUUCGAGCUGUUAACAUGUUGCUGCUGCAUGAUCAGAGAGAAGGGUACAGAGAGAUUGUAUAGGAGGAAGAAGGAAAGGAAAAGGCAAAGCAACGUUGAGGAAUUUCAUCGUUUUCGCAAAUUAGGGAAUUUGUCGCAAGGUAGUGUUGCUCCCCUGCAAUAGGCAGCUUCUCUUUAGUCCCUAGGAGUGUAAGAUUCAAAUAGAAAUUAAUUUGAUAGCUACUCGUGCCACAAUUUUUGAGGUGCUUGAAUAUAGGUUGAAACCGUAUUUUCAAUUCUGGUGUUAAACCAUCCGGAUUCAGAUUAGUUGUCCUACAUAAAAUUUGUAGUCAUUGUCGAUAUCUUUCUAACACCGCAGGUUUCGCUUGAUUCCGAUAAGCGGUUUAGGAGAAACAACAGAAACAGUACUGCUGACUGGGUCCGGAAACCAGGACAACAAUUUGUUUUCCUUAAUCUGGGAUUUCCAGAGCCAUAAUCUGAUUUUUCGCCCAACAUGAAAGUUGUAGACAAUUUUAUCUAGAUGUCCAAAAUUGUAUUAUUUGCUAGAUUCUGUUAGACGGUUUGCGAGUUAAAAAAAACAGUAAGGAAACUGCUAUAGGUUAUUCAAUACAAAUCGGUUAAAAGUUUAUAUGUUCUAGGUUAUUGAUUUUAGUAGAUAUCCCUUGUAACUAUCAUAAGUUGGAUAUAGUGGUUUAUGCGUAGUUUUGCUCUACAUGUGUGGAGGGUUCCAACGUUGGAGGAGUUGAGUCAGAGUAUCGAAGGAGUUAAGGCAAGUACAAGACGGAUUUAUGUGAUGGACGAACUGAGUUGUUUUGUUUGGUUUUACUUGCAUAAUUAUUAUUUAAUUGCUUGAUAUUAUUGAUCGUAUGGCUCUGAUGUUGUGCUACUUAAUCAUGUUUCAAUCCAUAUUUGAAUUUAUGAUGUUAUUCAUGUUUUAUUAUUCCGGAUGUUUUUGUUUACAUUAUUCAAGAACCAUGCGUAGCCAUGGGAGUGCAAUUUGGGUCUUUAUUCAUGAUCCUUGAGAAACGCUAAUCACGCUUGUUCGGCUUACCGGUAAUGCUAAGAGGAUAUUUGUACCUGCCCGGGAGGGAACUACUAUCUUUUGACUUCUUUGUUUUAGAAUAAAGUAAAUCCAACCUUUCAUAUUGGUUUCUUAUUGCAUUAAACCUGUGUAUGUUUUACUAGUUCAAUAUUGUAGUUGCUGAGUAUUCUUUACUCACUCCUGUGUUUAAUUUGGUUUUUAGGUAUCUAAUGACAUUGAUCAGCAUGGGAUGGGAGUAGCACUCUUGAACUACGCAUUAUUAUUGCACACUAUUGAUAUUUAGUUUUAGACUAUGUUUCUGCUUAGCGUAAGUUUUGCGUAGAACUUGUAAAUGUCAUUUAAAGUUCUGGUCCUUAUUUUCAUGUGGAAUUUGUGGAGCUAGGAUGGGUUGGAUUAUGUGGUUUAUAUCGUUAUUAAGUUAUCUUAUAACUGCCUGUCGUGGAUGCUCGUAUUUUUAGGGGAGACUCUACCGAAAUUUCUAAUAAUUUUGGGAGUUAGUGGUUUUUGAGUGUAUUUUGGUGUGGCACUCUAGGUAGGUGGCUACCUGGAGUGUUACACCGUCGUCCUCGUCGCCGCUGUCGUCUCGCCACCGCUGCUCCCGUUGUCGUCGCUGUCAUUGCACUGCCACCGCUCCCGUCAUCGUCGCCGCGCAGCCGCUCGUGGUCACCGUCAUCCUUGUCGUCACCAUCGUUGCGCCGCCGCUGCUCCCGUCGUCAUCGCCGUCGUUGUGCAGCCGAUCGUGGUUGCCGUCGUCCUCGUCGUCACCAUUGUUUCCAUUUAUGAUGGAUAAAAGAUCAAAAAAGAAUUGAUGGAUGAAAAUUGUAUUACUUAGAGAUGUGGUUCAAAAACUAUUUAUUGGUUUUUACGAAUAUAUUAUAACAAACAUUUAAAUUGUUGGGAGAAUUGUGUCGUGCCAAAAUCUAUAUAAUCUAUAAUCUAUAGUGGCAGAGCCACCUCUAAGACAGGUUGCCACUAUCCAUAGAAGUCGACAUCUAUAAAAAAAACUAAUCGAUAAUCGAAAACACUAUUAGUUGUUCAGGCUUGACGACGCCACUAGCUCCACCACUAAUACUCCGUAAAUCGAAUCGACUAUAUUCUAUGAAAUGAUUUUUUUUAAAAAAAAAUAUCUCAUUUGGUCAAUGGCGUUUUAUCACUGUUCUUUUAUUUCUUUAAAGAAAUUGUUCGCAUUAAACAAACUUGUUUUUUUUUUUCUUCACACGGACUUACCCAUCACCCGUUCGUCCGCCGGAAAAUUCCCCUCGUCUCUUCCAUGUUCCAUCACCGCCAGGCGCUAGCUUUUCACCUGCAAGAUCUCGAGGUAGAGUGGUAGACCACAGCCCGCCGGAUUCUUGCGAGCAGCUUCCCAUCGCCCUGCCUUGAUCUGUGCUGGCCUGCGUCCCAUCCCCGUGCUGCCGCGCGCGAUCCCUCCUGGCCUGGGGCUGGAUUUGUGGAUACUUUGUACAGGGUUGCAGUUGCAGAUUUGAUUAUUUCCAGAUCGAGGACGGAUGGUUGCGGCCAAUGCCACCGUCAUGGAUAGGGUUCCUUCUGUGUGGGAUCGGCCAUUUUGCAUCAAGGUAUAUAUCAAAGUCACAGCCAGUAAUGUUUAGCAAGGCAUUAUCAAGAGUAAAAGAUCUCCCUGGGGCUUUCCAGGACAUGUUAUAAUCUUUGGUACCUGGACUUACUGGGAUUGCAUGGGAAAAAUCAACGGUGACAUACAUAAAUAGGUAGUUUGAGGUGCUACCGUAUACAAUAGCAUCAAUAUCUUCGAUAACCUCUGUCCCACCCUGCAGGAAGAGCCUAGGUGGUUGUGCGGUGUUGUCACAGGUGAGAUUGAAGUCUGGGUUCCUGAAGCAGCCAGAACCAAUGCCGAAUGGGUAGUCGAAGCUCAGGUUGCCGCAGCUCCGUGGGCAGCCUUCCAGAGUGGCCGCAGAAGGAAGAAUGGUGCUGUUGAUACCUUGAUUUCCUGGCACGCUGGAUGAUCUCACAGUUGGAUUCACUGCAGAAAACAAGACGAAUAGGAGCAGAGGAACCACUGAACUGAAGGGGCUCAUGUCGAUCAUCUUUAUAGUGCUUAGCAUUGUUGCCCUAGAGAAGUUUCAGAGCUUGAGCUGUGAAAAUAUGUGGGAGAACCGGAGAAGCAUUGCAAAUGAGUACAAUGGGUUUUCAUCCAUAUCUAGGUCAUGGUCUUGCUGCUUUAUAAGCAUCUGGAGUCUGGACAGGGCCACAGGGGCCACUGGGAAAUGUAAAAGUCAGUGAUUGUCAAUACUGCAAGAAAAUUGUCAAGGUUUACUGCAAGACUACUUACAGCGAUGAGGGUUGGUAUCAGGUAUGUCACUUCAAUCAGUUCCACUAUUAAUUUUACAUGUGAACCAAAACUUUGCUCUCUCUUUCCACCUGGCUUCCAUUCUUUCAAUCACCAUCGUUGACUGACUGGGCAAUAUAUGGCUCUAUAUUGGAAGCAUCUUCUCACCUUUAUUCAACAUUAAAGUAGCCAAUUGCAGCUAGUAAUUGAUUCCUGGAGUCCUGGUCAGUCAACAUUCUAGCUUUCUAAGCCAUUCAAAAUGUCCAAAGCAAACUCAUGAAUGUGGCGAGCACAUUUUCCACCAUGCCGUUGAUGCUGACAGCAUUGGGAACUGAGUGCCAACCAGCGUAAGUUUCUAACCCAUGGAGCGGGGAGUCGAACAGUUUGAUCGUGGGAGUCUGGAUCUGGCUUAGUGUUCAAGUACAUGAUUUUGACAGGUAGAGCAAACACUCGACACAUGUUUACAUUUGAAGAAUUAGUUUAGAUUGCUGAAAUAUGUUGGAGAAUAUUCUUUUAGCAAUUUUUACAGAGUCAUUAAUAGAACAAUAACCUUAGCAAUUUUGCUUGUGUUGUCUAUUGCUCGCUAUUUCUGAGCCUGGAUGGAACACUAAUGGUGAAUAUCGAUGCAAGGUUUUUAUCCGGUUCACGUCAUACUGCAGGAUAUAGUGACUGAAGUGUGAAACUGUCUUUCCUGGAGAUUACCCCUGCAUUGCUCAUCCAGUGGAGGAAACAGAGUUCACUGCUUGUUACUUGUGAAGUCGAUGAAGGCAGUUGAUGGUAGCAGUUCACCAAGGUCAGGCAGAGUGACUGACCCAGCGGCUAUUCAGCAAUCCGUGCUAAUUAAGUGAUUGUAAUAAAGCUCUCCAUUUCCUGGAAAAGAAGUUACGAAAGAAAGGUGCAACUGAAAUUGGUUAAGGUUCUUCGAAUCCGGUGGAACACCUGCCUACUUCAACCACUGGUUUAGAACCUAUGCUAACGAACUACAUUCUGCUGAUUUGAUUAUGUUCUAAGCUUUUCGUCGAGAUGGCAUCAAUUACUUUGCAUCCAUUCAACGCAAGAGUAUGUACAAAUAUACUGUCUUGAUGUCCGUUGCUGUUUUGAUGUGCCUAAAUUAACCGACUUACUCCC